RNAcentral lists this ribosomal RNA (253 nucleotides) under uncultured bacterium. RNAcentral's name for it is "partial 16S ribosomal RNA". It matches the Rfam family "Bacterial small subunit ribosomal RNA", at positions 524 to 776 of the family's 1533-position model. The record is from RNAcentral.
UACGUAGGGGGCAAGCGUUGUCCGGAUUUAUUGGGCGUAAAGAGCGUGUAGGCGGCCAAGUAAGUCUGCUGUGAAAACUCGGGGCUUAACCUCGAGCUGUCGGCGGAAACUAUUUGGCUAGAGUCCGGAAGAGGAGAAUGGAAUUCCCGGUGUAGCGGUGAAAUGCGCAGAUAUCGGGAAGAACACCCGUGGCGAAGGCGGUUCUCUGGGACGGUACUGACGCUGAGACGCGAAAGCGUGGGGAGCGAACAGG